RNAcentral lists this ribosomal RNA (301 nucleotides) under uncultured bacterium. RNAcentral describes it as "partial 16S ribosomal RNA". It matches the Rfam family "Bacterial small subunit ribosomal RNA", at positions 509 to 809 of the family's 1533-position model. The record is from RNAcentral.
CAGCAGCCGCGGUAAUACAGAGGGUGCAAGCGUUAAUCGGAAUUACUGGGCGUAAAGCGCGCGUAGGUGGUUUGUUAAGUUGGAUGUGAAAUCCCCGGGCUCAACCUGGGAACUGCAUCCAAAACUGGCAAGCUAGAGUAUGGUAGAGGGUGGUGGAAUUUCCUGUGUAGCGGUGAAAUGCGUAGAUAUAGGAAGGAACACCAGUGGCGAAGGCGACCACCUGGACUGAUACUGACACUGAGGUGCGAAAGCGUGGGGAGCAAACAGGAUUAGAUACCCCCGUAGUCCCUGUCUCUUAUAA